GAUGAACGCUAGCUACAGGCUUAACACAUGCAAGUCGAGGGGAAACGACAUCGAAAGCUUGCUUUCGAUGGGCGUCGACCGGCGCACGGGUGAGUAACGCGUAUCCAACCUGCCCACCACUUGGGGAUAACCUUGCGAAAGUAAGACUAAUACCCAAUGAUAUCUCUAGAAGACAUCUGAAAGAGAUUAAAGAUUUAUCGGUGAUGGAUGGGGAUGCGUCGGAUUAGCUUGUUGGCGGGGUAACGGCCCACCAAGGCUACGAUCAGUAGGGGUUCUGAGAGGAAGGUCCCCCACAUUGGAACUGAGACACGGUCCAAACUCCUACGGGAGGCAGCAGUGAGGAAUAUUGGUCAAUGGACGAGAGUCUGAACCAGCCAAGUAGCGUGCAGGAUGACGGCCCUAUGGGUUGUAAACUGCUUUUAUAAGGGAAUAAAGUGAGUCUCGUGAGACUUUUUGCAUGUACCUUAUGAAUAAGGACCGGCUAAUUCCGUGCCAGCAGCCGCCGCAG
Molecule: ribosomal RNA, 508 nt
Filed under: uncultured bacterium
Lineage: Bacteria
Description: partial 16S ribosomal RNA
Rfam family: Bacterial small subunit ribosomal RNA
Source: RNAcentral